AUGGAAGUGGAUGUCGGCCGAGACGCCCGGGAGGACCCGGAGGAGAGUCCCGUGGAGAACCUUCCGAUCCCGGAGUCCCCCGUUAUUGGGUUUACGGGAGACUCCAAGGCCCCGAGAGGCAUCAAUAACCCUAGCAUCUUGCAGCUGCCAUGUAUGUUUUUUCUCUCUCGCUCUCUUUUUCUCGAAGUUCUUUUUACCGCCCGUUCUGUCUAUGAACUUCGAUCGGCGGACAAUGAACCUGUUGACCCAAAGAAUUACCUUGAGGAACGCUGCAAGCCGCAAUGUGUAAAAUCAUUGUAUGACUAUGAGAGAUGUGUGAAGAGAGUCGAGAAUGAUGAAACUGGGCAGAAGCACUGCACCGGGCAAUUCUUCGACUACUGGUCAUGCGUCGACAAAUGUUAUGUCAGGUAUGUGCAGAGGGUCAGUCUGUCGAGGCCGAGAUGUCCUUCGGUUGCUUGCUCGUUUCACCUGAAGUUCCCUGUAGAAGGAGAGAACAAUCUACUGUUACGGUUCUUUAAUUCCUGUUCUUAUAUCUGGUAA
This 540-nucleotide ribosomal RNA is filed under the name Triticum aestivum (bread wheat). RNAcentral describes it as "partial small subunit ribosomal RNA". The record is from RNAcentral. Lineage: Eukaryota; Viridiplantae; Streptophyta; Magnoliopsida; Poales; Poaceae.